UGAAGUCUGUCCGAAGCUGAGCCAACUUCGCUUUUGUAAGCGUAUUCCGCCUCGGCAAUGGGACACCAACCCGAAUGUCUACUCCCUCUGAAAUUGAAGCCCCAGCUAUACCCACGGACCCUGAUGGUGACGCCUGGUUACUCGAACCCACCUCUUGCGUAUGAGGCAAGGCUAGAACCCGGUUCGCUAUAGCCUCUAACUCUAUGUAAUUCCUCUGCAUCUCCCUAUAUGCAGCCGACCCAGAGUCUACUGAUGGCUCAC
Molecule: long non-coding RNA, 261 nt
Filed under: Prunus persica (peach)
Lineage: Eukaryota; Viridiplantae; Streptophyta; Magnoliopsida; Rosales; Rosaceae
Description: long non-coding RNA (PPER_LNC002307)
Source: RNAcentral